This 432-nucleotide unclassified non-coding RNA is filed under the name soil metagenome. Its description in RNAcentral is "partial contains 5.8S ribosomal RNA, internal transcribed spacer 2, and large subunit ribosomal RNA". The stretch from base 1 to 120 matches the Rfam family "5.8S ribosomal RNA", at positions 35 to 154 of the family's 154-position model. The record is from RNAcentral.
GAUGAAGAACGUAGCGAAAUGCGAUACGUAAUGUGAAUUGCAGAAUUCUGUGAAUCAUCGAAUCUUUGAACGCAUAUUGCGCUCUCUGGUAUUCCGGAGAGCAUGCUUGUUUGAGUAUCAGUAAACACCUCAACUUCCAUAUCUUUUUUGAAAUGGGAGUUGGACUUGAGUGAUCCCAACGCUUUUCCUCACCGAAAAGUGGCGGGUUACUUGAAAUGCAGGUGCAGCUGGACUUUUCUCUGAGCUAUAAGCAUAUCUAUUUAGUCUGCCUAAAAAACAGAUUAUUACCUUUGCUGCAGCUAACAUAAAGGAGAUUAGUUCUUGUGCUGACUGAUGCAGGAUUCACAAAGACGGCUUCGGCCGACUUUGUAAACUCGAUCUCAAAUCAAGUAAGACUACCCGCUGAACUUAAGCAUAUCAAUAAGCGGAGGA